CCUACGGGAGGCAGCAGUAGGGAAUUUUCGUCAAUGGGCGCAAGCCUGAACGAGCAAUGCCGCGUGAACGAGGAAGGUCUUCGGAUCGUAAAGUUCUGUUGAAGGGGAAAAAGAGCGGAGAGAGGAAAUGAACUCCGAUUGAUAUUACCCUUCGUGGCAGUCACGGCUAACUACGGGCCAGCAGCCGCGGUAAUACGUAGGUGGCGAGCGUUAUCCGGAAUGAUUGGGCGUAAAGGGUACGUAGGCGGCCUGCUAAGUCUGGAGUGAAAGGUACCGGCUCAACCGGGAUAGGCACUGGAAACUGGCGGACUAGAGAGCAGGAGAGGGCGGGGGAACUCCAGGUGUAGCGGUAAAAUGCGUAGAUAUAUGGAAGAACACCAGUGGCGAAGGCGGCCGCCUGGCCUGUUACUGACGCUGAGGCACGAAAGCGUGGGGAGCAAAUAGGAUUAGAUACCCUAGUAGUC
Molecule: ribosomal RNA, 464 nt
Filed under: uncultured bacterium
Lineage: Bacteria
Description: partial 16S ribosomal RNA
Rfam family: Bacterial small subunit ribosomal RNA
Source: RNAcentral